UACGGGGGGAGCAAGCGUUGUUCGGAUUUACUGGGCGUAAAGGGCGCGUAGGCGGCCAGCACAAGUCAGUUGUGAAAUCUCCGAGCUUAACUCGGAAAGGUCAACUGAUACUGUGCGGCUAGAGUGCGGAAGGGGCAACUGGAAUUCUUGGUGUAGCGGUGAAAUGCGUAGAUAUCAGGAGGAACACCGGUGGCGAAGGCGGAUCUCUGGGCCUUACCUGACGCUCAGGUGCGAAAGCUAGGGGAGCGAACAGG
Molecule: ribosomal RNA, 254 nt
Filed under: uncultured bacterium
Lineage: Bacteria
Description: partial 16S ribosomal RNA
Rfam family: Bacterial small subunit ribosomal RNA
Source: RNAcentral